AACGCGUAGGUAAUCUACCCUUAUACCUGGGAUGACAUUGGGAAACUGGUGCUAAUACCGGAUACACUUCUUUGCUGCGGGGCAAAGGAGGAAAGGUGGCCUCUUCAUGAAAGCUACCGUAUAUGGAUGAGCCUGCGUACCAUUAGCUAGUAGGUAGGGUAACGGCCUACCUAGGCCACGAUGGUUAGCGGGUCUGAGAGGAUGAUCCGCCACACUGGAACUGGAACACGGACCAG
RNAcentral lists this ribosomal RNA (236 nucleotides) under uncultured bacterium. RNAcentral's name for it is "partial 16S ribosomal RNA". It matches the Rfam family "Bacterial small subunit ribosomal RNA", at positions 112 to 334 of the family's 1533-position model. The record is from RNAcentral.